This 214-nucleotide long non-coding RNA is filed under the name Mytilus galloprovincialis (Mediterranean mussel). Lineage: Eukaryota; Metazoa; Mollusca; Bivalvia; Mytilida; Mytilidae. The record is from RNAcentral.
AACACAAGUCAAGCUUGAAUUUUGUUGGCGUCACUUUUACCAUUCUAGGUGUAAAGGGGUGAAAUUUUCAGUAUACCCUAUCAAGUAUAUAUACCCUUAUAUAUGUUUGACUUGUAGCUUUCUUCGGUUAUACAUUUAUCAGGUGAAAUUAAAACGGUCUUAAGAUUUAGAAGUAUAAACAAGAAUGUGUCCAUAGUACACGCAUGCCCCAUCU